RNAcentral lists this unclassified non-coding RNA (527 nucleotides) under Atrichantha gemmifera. RNAcentral describes it as "partial contains external transcribed spacer and 18S ribosomal RNA". Lineage: Eukaryota; Viridiplantae; Streptophyta; Magnoliopsida; Asterales; Asteraceae. The record is from RNAcentral.
UUUUGGCUUUUGGCUGUUUGCCUAGCAUUUGCGCUUGGUGGGCGGCUAUUAGCUGGGUGGUUUCGGGGAUGUCUACCGUAAAGGUGCAUGAGUGGUGUUUGGUUUGUUACGGGUGGUUGGCUCUUUGCUUGCGCAACAACUUCCACCUGGCAUACCUCUUCAGUUUUGCGUCAAUGCUUGUAUCGCAUUGAACGCAAGGUGGGUUUCUUGUGUUGCAUACCAAAAUUGAUGGUAUCGUUUGAUGAAUUGAUGUUCCUUAUUCAUCUUGUGUCGCACAUGCGAUGUGAGACGAACUUUGAAGCAGUCUUUGUGAUCCACUCUUUCGAUGCGCAUGUGUUGAUGGUGUGGCCCAUUAAGUGUUGCUUGGUCUCAUGGAUAUGGAACCUGGUGUGGGCAUGGGAGAGAUCCUUUUUUGCCCUGCUUUAGCUUUUCUAAUACGAUUGACUAUCACGUAUGGCACGUCUCAGCGUGGUAGUCUAUGUCGAAUAUGAAUGCUACCUGGUUGAUCCUGCCAGUAGUCAUAUGCU